This 543-nucleotide ribosomal RNA is filed under the name uncultured bacterium. RNAcentral's name for it is "bacterial SSU rRNA". It matches the Rfam family "Bacterial small subunit ribosomal RNA", at positions 8 to 526 of the family's 1533-position model. The record is from RNAcentral.
AGAGUUUGAUCAUGGCUCAGAACGAACGCUGGCGGCGUGGAUAAGGCAUGCAAGUCGAACGGGCUUUAACGGGUGGUAACAUCUGUUAAGGCUAGUGGCGAACGGGUGAGUAACACGUGGGCAAUCUGCCUCGAAGUGGGGGAUAACAUCGGGAAACCGGUGCUAAUACCGCGUAAUAUCCAGGGAUCGCAUGUUUCCUGGAUCAAAGGUGGGGAUCUUUCGGGACCCACCGCUUUGAGAGGAGCCCGCGGUCGAUUAGCUUGUUGGUGAGGUAAUGGCUCACCAAGGCAAUGAUCGAUAGCCGACCUGAGAGGGUGACCGGCCACACUGGGACUGAGAUACGGCCCAGACUCCUACGGGAGGCAGCAGUGGGGAAUAUUGGACAAUGGGCGAAAGGGUGACCCAGCAACGCCGCGUGGAGGAUGAAGGUCGUAAGAUUGUAAACUCCUGUUAGAGGGGAAGAAUAACUAAGUUUGGAGCUUAGUAUGACUGUACCCUCAGAGAAAGCCCCGGCUAACUACGUGCCAGCCGCCGCGGUAAUAC